AUUGAACGCUGGCGGCAGGCCUAACACAUGCAAGUAGAACGAGUGGCGGACGGGUGAGUAAUGUCUGGGAAACUGCCAGAUGGAGGGGGAUAAAUACUGGAAACGGUAGCUAAUACCGCAUACCAUCGGAUGUGCACAGAUGGGAUUAGCUAGUAGGUGGGGUAACGGCUCACCUAGGCGACGAUCCCUAGCUGGUCUGAGAGGAUGACCAGCCACACUGGAACGUAGACACGGUCCAGACUCCGACGGGAGGCAGCAGUGGGGAUGAUUGCACAAGGGGCGCAAGCCUGAUGCAGCCAUGCCGCGUGUAUGAAGAAGGCCUUCGGGUUGUAAAGUACUUUCAGCGAGGAGGCGUUACUCGCAGAAGAAGCACCGGCUAACUCCGUGCCAGCAGCCGCGGUAAUUC
RNAcentral lists this ribosomal RNA (406 nucleotides) under uncultured bacterium. RNAcentral describes it as "partial 16S ribosomal RNA". It matches the Rfam family "Bacterial small subunit ribosomal RNA", at positions 30 to 526 of the family's 1533-position model. The record is from RNAcentral.